CAUUAUGAAAAAUUUUUAAGACCUAGAAAAGGUUUAAAAAAUACUACCGUCAAGUUUAAGAAACAAGCAUUAUCAAGUCAGGAGAAACCCUCAGUACAUUCCUCCUUAAUUGCAUCCAGUCCUAUACAUCUUUAAACAUACAGCCUUUUUCUGUUUAUUAUUUUUAAUGAAUCUAACUAUUAAAAAUAAAACUUAAAGUAGCUUUUUAGGUAAACAAACCUCUUCUUUUGGUAAAGAAAUGAUAUAUCCGCAAGGGCCAUGGACACUAUGUUAUCUGUAUUAGGAAUUAUUAAAUUGUUAUUUAUAAUAGCAUUAUUUCUUUAUUUUAACAUUUAGUUUCUAUGCCUUUGCAUAUGUCAACCUGGGUUAUAAUGAAGAACAUUGUUGCUAAAAAUGGAUUUUCCGGAUUAUUUUCAGGCCUGAUUCCUCGCUUAAUUAAAAUUGCUCCUGCUUGUGCCAUUAUGAUCAGUACAUAUGAAUUU
This 482-nucleotide small RNA is filed under the name Pongo abelii (Sumatran orangutan). Its description in RNAcentral is "retained intron". The record is from RNAcentral. Lineage: Eukaryota; Metazoa; Chordata; Mammalia; Primates; Hominidae.